UAAUACGUAGGGUCCGAGCGUUGUCCGGAAUUACUGGGCGUAAAGCGCGCGCAGGCGGUCCACGAGGUGUCACGUGAAAGCCCCGGGCUCAACUCGGGAGGGUCGUGGCAAACCGGUGGACUUGAGGCCGGUAGAGGUGGGUGGAACUCCUGGUGGAGUGGUGAAAUGCGUAGAGAUCAGGAAGAACACCCGUGGCGAAGGCGGCCCACUGGGCCGGAACUGACGCUGAGGCGCGAAGGCGUGGGGAGCGAACGGGAUUAGAUACCCCGGUAGUCCACGCAGUAAACGAUGUCGACUCGGUGUGGGCGGUCUUGACCCCGUCCGCGCCACAGCUAACGCGACAAGUCGACCGCCUGGGGAGUACGGCCGCAAGGCUA
This 377-nucleotide ribosomal RNA is filed under the name uncultured bacterium. Its description in RNAcentral is "bacterial SSU rRNA". It matches the Rfam family "Bacterial small subunit ribosomal RNA", at positions 521 to 896 of the family's 1533-position model. The record is from RNAcentral.